RNAcentral lists this ribosomal RNA (379 nucleotides) under uncultured bacterium. RNAcentral's name for it is "bacterial SSU rRNA". It matches the Rfam family "Bacterial small subunit ribosomal RNA", at positions 478 to 859 of the family's 1533-position model. The record is from RNAcentral.
CGGUAGGAAUAAGGAUCGGCUAACUCCGUGCCAGCAGCCGCGGUAAUACGGAGGAUCCAAGCGUUAUCCGGAUUUAUUGGGUUUAAAGGGUGCGUAGGCGGCUUAUUAAGUCAGGGGUGAAAGGCGGUAGCUUAACUAUCGGAGUGCCCUUGAUACUGAUGAGCUUGAAUGCAGCUGAGGUAGGCGGAAUGUGACAAGUAGCGGUGAAAUGCAUAGAUAUGUCACAGAACACCGAUUGCGAAGGCAGCUUACUAAAGUGCGAUUGACGCUGAGGCACGAAAGCGUGGGGAUCAAACAGGAUUAGAUACCCUGGUAGUCCACGCCCUAAACGAUGAAUACUCGAUGUUGGCGAUAUACGGUCAGCGUCUAAGCGAAAGCG